UACGAAGGGGGCUAGCGUUGUUCGGAAUUACUGGGCGUAAAGCGUGCGCAGGCGGCUGCUCAAGUCAGGGGUGAAAGCCCAGAGCUCAACUCUGGAAUUGCCUUUGAGACUGAGUGGCUUGAGUACGGGAGAGGUGAGUGGAAUUCCCAGUGUAGAGGUGAAAUUCGUAGAUAUUGGGAAGAACACCGGUGGCGAAGGCGGCUCACUGGCCCGUAACUGACGCUCAGGCACGACAGCGUGGGGAUCAAACAGG
This 253-nucleotide ribosomal RNA is filed under the name uncultured bacterium. Its description in RNAcentral is "partial 16S ribosomal RNA". It matches the Rfam family "Bacterial small subunit ribosomal RNA", at positions 524 to 776 of the family's 1533-position model. The record is from RNAcentral.